Molecule: ribosomal RNA, 301 nt
Filed under: uncultured bacterium
Lineage: Bacteria
Description: partial 16S ribosomal RNA
Rfam family: Bacterial small subunit ribosomal RNA
Source: RNAcentral
CAGUAGCCGCGGUAAUACGAAGGGUGCAAGCGUUAAUCGGAAUUACCGGGCGUAAAGCGCGCGUAGGUGGUUCAUUAAGUUGGAUGUGAAAGCCCUGGGCUCAACCUGGGAACUGCAUCCAAAACUGGUGAGCUAGAGUACGGUAGAGGGUAGUGGAAUUUCCUGUGUAGCGGUGAAAUGCGUAGAUAUAGGAAGGAACACCAGUGGCGAAGGCGACUACCUGGACUGAUACUGACACUGAGGUGCGAAAGCGUGGGGAGCAAACAGGAUUAGAUACCCCAGUAGUCCCUGUCUCUUAUAC